ACGGCCAUAUCCCGUUGAAACAACGCUUCUCGAACGAUCACCGAAGUUAAACAAUGUUAAGCCUGGUUUGUACGUCGAUAGAUAACCGCUUGGGAAUACCAGGUACUGUA
Molecule: non-coding RNA, 110 nt
Organism: Acanthosepion pharaonis
Lineage: Eukaryota; Metazoa; Mollusca; Cephalopoda; Sepiida; Sepiidae
Source: the annotation of a GenBank genome assembly